This 254-nucleotide ribosomal RNA is filed under the name uncultured bacterium. Its description in RNAcentral is "partial 16S ribosomal RNA". It matches the Rfam family "Bacterial small subunit ribosomal RNA", at positions 524 to 776 of the family's 1533-position model. The record is from RNAcentral.
UACGAAGGGGGCUAGCGUUGCUCGGAAUCACUGGGCGUAAAGGGCGCGUAGGCGGUCAGCACAAGUCAGUUGUGAAAUCUCCGGGCUUAACUCGGAAAGGUCAACUGAUACUGUGCGACUAGAGUGCAGAAGGGGCAACUGGAAUUCUCGGUGUAGCGGUGAAAUGCGUAGAUAUCGAGAGGAACACCUGCGGCGAAGGCGGGUUGCUGGGCUGACACUGACGCUGAUGCGCGAAAGCCAGGGGAGCGAACGGG